CACACACGUGCAGAUCCCAGUGACAAAGCGGGAAGCUGGUCGACCACUCUCGUGCCAGAGGCUAAUGGCUGAUCAGCUAAUGCAGCAUGUGAGCAUCUCCUGGCUACUGUGGAUUGGUUCUGGACUGCUAAUUCAUGCUCUUGUCUAUUGGAGACAAUAUCUGCCAAGUUUCACCAGAGAUGUGUACAAGUAUGGUAAGCUGAGGAGUGAGAGUGACUGGAGCUGGAUGAUCCCUAGUGUGCCCAAGACUCAAGGAGAUUUCAGUGACAAAGCGGGGAAGCUGGUCGACCACUCUCGUGCCAGAGGCUAAUGGCUGAUCAGCUAAUGCAGCAUGUGAGCAUCUCCUGGCUACUGUGGAUUGGUUCUACACCGCUUUGGGACCAACAGCACUGCUGCAUUUGAAUUCAGACUCACCCCUUGCUGGCCUGAUUGUAGCCACUCUGUUGUUCCUCUGGGCCUACACACAUCAGUACCGAUGUCACGUCAUCCCUGCACAACUCAGAGCAGUCAACAACAAGCCACAGUACGGCGGCUGUCACUGCCAAGCAGACUCACGUUUGCUAUAGACACAAGUUUGAGGACUAUCCAAACAACAGACAAAUUGUUAUGACCAUUUGUUUAUUAGUUGCUAAUAUAAUUUAUGCUAUGUACAUGCAGUACUGUAUGGUAUCAUUCAUAUUCUCCAAUCAAUAAUCUAUCAAAUUAAUGAUCGAAAAAAUUAAUUUUGAAUUUGCAGUAAAUAAUAAUUGACGCUUCUUAUGCUAUUAUUUGUACAUGCAGUACAUGGUACAUUGAAUUAGUAUGACAUCAUUUAUUGUUCAAGCAAUAAACCU
Long non-coding RNA from Halichondria panicea, 833 nucleotides. RefSeq lists it as uncharacterized. Lineage: Eukaryota; Metazoa; Porifera; Demospongiae; Suberitida; Halichondriidae. The transcript is spliced from 3 exons. The record is from RefSeq and is a predicted model, not a curated record.